RNAcentral lists this ribosomal RNA (940 nucleotides) under Erwinia amylovora. Its description in RNAcentral is "bacterial SSU rRNA". The stretch from base 1 to 799 matches the Rfam family "Bacterial small subunit ribosomal RNA", at positions 84 to 873 of the family's 1533-position model. The record is from RNAcentral. Lineage: Bacteria; Pseudomonadati; Pseudomonadota; Gammaproteobacteria; Enterobacterales; Erwiniaceae.
UUGGGUGACGAGUGGCGGACGGGUGAGUAAUGUCUGGGAAACUGCCCGAUGGAGGGGGAUAACUACUGGAAACGGUAGCUAAUACCGCAUAACGUCUACGGACCAAAGUGGGGGACCUUCGGGCCUCACACCAUCGGAUGUGCCCAGAUGGGAUUAGCUGGUAGGUGGGGUAACGGCUCACCUAGGCGACGAUCCCUAGCUGGUCUGAGAGGAUGACCAGCCACACUGGAACUGAGACACGGUCCAGACUCCUACGGGAGGCAGCAGUGGGGAAUAUUGCACAAUGGGCGCAAGCCUGAUGCAGCCAUGCCGCGUGUAUGAAGAAGGCCUUCGGGUUGUAAAGUACUUUCAGCGGGGAGGAAGGGUAAGAGGUUAAUAACCUUUUGCAUUGACGUUACCCGCAGAAGAAGCACCGGCUAACUCCGUGCCAGCAGCCGCGGUAAUACGGAGGGUGCAAGCGUUAAUCGGAAUUACUGGGCGUAAAGCGCACGCAGGCGGUCUGUCAAGUCGGAUGUGAAAUCCCCGGGCUUAACCUGGGAACUGCAUUCGAAACUGGCAGGCUAGAGUCUCGUAGAGGGGGGUAGAAUUCCAGGUGUAGCGGUGAAAUGCGUAAAGAUCUGGAGGAAUACCGGUGGCGAAGGCGGCCCCCUGGACGAACACUGACGCUCAGGUGCGAAAGCGUGUGGAGCAAACAGGAGUAGAUACCCUGGUAGUCCACGCCGUAAAAGAUGUCGACUUUUUAGGCUGUUCCCCCGAGGGAGUGGCUCCCCCCAGCUAAAAUCGUUUAUUUCCGACCGUCCUGUCGGAGUGACAGUCCGCGAGUGAUUACCCACACAGGUUAAAAUUGACUGGGGGGGUGGAACCAGCCGGCCGGGAGCAGCGUGUGCGAGCUUAAUAUUUUAAAGUUAAAAGGGCCAUGACCCUUGUACCUUUGAACCUC